GUGCUAUGAUGACAUGCAACUGUGGUUUCCUCAAACCGAUAAUUGAAUGAGGACAUUAAAUUCCUUGGCUGUGUCUGAGCAU
Molecule: small nucleolar RNA, 82 nt
Organism: Phascolarctos cinereus (koala)
Lineage: Eukaryota; Metazoa; Chordata; Mammalia; Diprotodontia; Phascolarctidae
Source: Ensembl